GAUGAAGAACGUAGCGAAAUGCGAUAAGUAAUGUGAAUUGCAGAAUUCAGUGAAUCAUCGAAUCUUUGAACGCACAUUGCGCCCAUUAGUAUUCUAGUGGGCAUGCCUGUUCGAGCGUCAUUUCAACCCUUAAGCCUAGCUUAGUAUUGGGAAUCGACUUUACUGUCGUUCCUCAAAUUCAACGGCGGAUUUAUAGCAAUCUCUGAACGUAGUAAUUUUUUUCCUCGUUUUUGAAAUACUAUAAACCUCAGCCGCUAAACCCACAAUUUUUUUAUGGUUGACCUCGGAUCAGGUAGGAAUACCCGCUGAACUUAAGCAUAUCAAUAAGCGGAGGA
Molecule: unclassified non-coding RNA, 335 nt
Filed under: soil metagenome
Description: partial contains 5.8S ribosomal RNA, internal transcribed spacer 2, and large subunit ribosomal RNA
Rfam family: 5.8S ribosomal RNA (bases 1-120)
Source: RNAcentral